GACGAACGCUAGCGGCGUGCUUAACACAUGCAAGUCGAACGAUGAACCCGGAGCUUGCUCCGGUGGAUUAGUGGCGAACGGGUGAGUAACACGUGGGUGAUCUGCCCUGCACUUCGGGAUAAGCCUGGGAAACUGGGUCUAAUACCGGAUAGGACCACUGCCUGCAUGGGUGGUGGUGGAAAGCUGUUGCGGUGUGGGAUGGGCCCGCGGCCUAUCAGCUUGUUGGUGGGGUGAUGGCCUACCAAGGCGACGACGGGUAGCCGGCCUGAGAGGGUGACCGGCCACACUGGGACUGAGAUACGGCCCAGACUCCUACGGGAGGCAGCAGUGGGGAAUAUUGCACAAUGGGCGCAAGCCUGAUGCAGCGACGCCGCGUGAGGGAUGACGGCCUUCGGGUUGUAAACCUCUUUCAGCACCGACGAAGCGCAAGUGACGGUAGGUGCAGAAGAAGGACCGGCCAACUACGUGCCAGCAGCCGCGGUAA
RNAcentral lists this ribosomal RNA (484 nucleotides) under uncultured bacterium. RNAcentral describes it as "partial 16S ribosomal RNA". It matches the Rfam family "Bacterial small subunit ribosomal RNA", at positions 28 to 523 of the family's 1533-position model. The record is from RNAcentral.